AUUAGAUACCCCAGUAGUCAAAGCAGAAAAUGAUGAAUGUCAUAGAUUAGAUAAACAAUUUAUUCUAUAAAUGAAAGUGUAAGCAUUCCACCUCAAGAGUAAUUUGGCAACAUUGGAACUGAAAUCAUUAGACCGUUUCUGAAACCAGUAGUGAAGUAUGUUGUUUAAUUUGAUAAUACGCAAAAAACCUUACCACAAUUUGAAUAUUUAUAUAUAUCUUUAUUGGUUUUUACUAAUAUAUUUGUAGAUAAUUAAAAUGAUGCUUAUACCCCGUUUGUGAGACUAAGCAUCAAAAAAGAUAAUAUAUUUACAAGCGUUGCACGGCUGUCUUCAGUUAAUGUCGUGAGAUUUUGGUUAGUUCCAUUAAAUUAACGUAAACCCUUACUUUAUUUUUAUAUAAAGUAGUUCUCCGCUAUAUUGGAUAUGAUAACAGGGACUAAGACAAG
This 446-nucleotide ribosomal RNA is filed under the name Cladonia pseudoevansii. RNAcentral describes it as "SSU rRNA". It matches the Rfam family "Bacterial small subunit ribosomal RNA", at positions 777 to 1189 of the family's 1533-position model. Lineage: Eukaryota; Fungi; Ascomycota; Lecanoromycetes; Lecanorales; Cladoniaceae. The record is from RNAcentral.